Talpa occidentalis (Iberian mole) is the source of this 1766-nucleotide long non-coding RNA. RefSeq lists it as uncharacterized. The transcript is spliced from 3 exons. Lineage: Eukaryota; Metazoa; Chordata; Mammalia; Eulipotyphla; Talpidae. The record is from RefSeq and is a predicted model, not a curated record.
GCGUGGAGUUGGCAGGCUGGCGUUGGGCUCCUGGCCGCUCGGGUGCCCUGGCGUCAUCGCUCGGGCACCCACUUUCCUUGGGGCUGCGCCCUUGACAGCCCUGGCGCGCCACUAGGCAACAGACAGGGGUCCCCACCCCCGGCCCCUCAGGGGUCCUGCAAGGGAGGAGAGCGGCCGGGGCCACCCGCCUCCCCUGUGGUUACUGUCCCGGGGGCCUUGGAGCCUCGGCUUCCCUUUUGCCAACUUCAGAACUCGCCUGCGCCUUUGUUACCUUUUUUAUUAGCAAAAUGAAAACCCAUUUGUCCCGGAACAUUGAUGCAAACUCCCCUAGAUCUAAACUUGAGGACCUGAUACUUACUGAUGGGCCCGGAUAGAGCAAAACCAGCUCCCCUUGAUUCGUCAGAGACCCCCAGGGUUUUGUGAUCACUAAUAAGUUACCUAGUUGCAGACUCUCAGCAAGUUGCCAACAGGGCCAUGCAGAAAAGGAGAGAAUGGGGAAAACUUAAUGUUCUUUUACUUCCAGGGUGGCGUCUUGGCAGCCGGGCAGGAGGCAGUGGUGAGGGACCAAGAGGGACUGAAAAGGCCCCACAGCUGGGAACUGACCCUCUGCCUGCCUCCUGAAAGAUGACAUCUGUUGAAUGGCUUUUAUGUGCCAGGUACCACCCAAAGCUCCAGAGUAGCAAAGAUGAAUGAGCUGUAUUUCUUCUCCACAAGUAAUCACAUUGCAUCUCAAUGUGGACAAAGUGCACAACAAUUUUGUUGGCUGUUCUGGAGUCCAGUAUAUUUGCUUGACCUCUGUGGAAUUCGGUCCAGGGCACAUGAGUCAGAUAAAGGCGGACAGGACUGUCGUGGUCUACAUCUUCCCCCAACAUUUGCCAAGCCUGUCUUUGCUCGCUUUGCGGUUUCCUGAUUCCAGUGGGGGCUGUCUCUGGGCCCCUCUGGCACCCUGCGUGCAUAGGAUGUUCCAGUGGGACAAGGUCUGAAGAGCAUGGUUGGGGGGCCGGGGGGAGGCCAGAGACCCUCUGCUUUUGUUUCCCUCUGCCAAGUCCCUAUUGCUCUGGGGUGCUGGAAGCACGUCUGAUAAGGCUGAGGAAGAACCAGAGAGUUGGGGCGCGCGUUCUCAUCCCCCCAGCUAAAUGAGCAUCCCUCACUGCUACCAUGCAGUGAUCUGUAGCCAGUUCACCACUGACUUUAGACCCGUGACAGUCAGCUGUUGGUGCGACAAAAGGGGAGGCCCUCGCGCCUUCCCGGGGCUCAGCCUCUGACCCCGAUGGGUGUCACAGUUGCUGGAUUGCGUCCCCUGCCUAAGACUAGCUGGGGAUCCUCCAGUCUUUGCUAGCAGACCCACCCCACCUCCAGGCCCCUCUCUGCACAUGCCCUCACUGUGUGUCCCUGUCUUGCUUGGAAGUCGGGGCCCCUGGCCAGGCUGCCCGUGUGAGGGUGCCAGUCUCUGGUGCCAUCUCUGCCUUGUGAGCAGUCCCCUCUAACCUAGGCUGGUGGCCGGGUCCUCUGGCGUUCAGGAACCUGGUGUCACUUUCUCCGCCUGCUCAACCUCCCCUGGGGCAGGAGGUGUGAGAGGGGAGUCCCCCCAAGGGGGCAGGGAGAAAAAGGGGGGCCACGUGGACAACAAAGACACAUUAGUUACUUCAAAGAGUUUCCUGCCACAGGAGCCAAAGUGCCAGUAGAGAAGAGGCCCCUCCCCAAAAUUCAGAAAAAACAUUUCUACCUUAAAAAUAAGCGUUGGCGACUGACACAGAUUCCCGGCA